This is a long non-coding RNA of Sinocyclocheilus rhinocerous, 253 nucleotides long. RefSeq lists it as uncharacterized. Lineage: Eukaryota; Metazoa; Chordata; Actinopteri; Cypriniformes; Cyprinidae. The transcript is spliced from 3 exons. The record is from RefSeq and is a predicted model, not a curated record.
GCAACCUCUAUUUUUGAGGACAAAAUAUAUUCUAGAAAGUUGAAAUAUAUCUGCUCAGAUAAACACACGUGAUUAUUUAAUUAACACAAUAUUAUAAACUCAAAUCUUGCUUUCACUAACAUGAGCCGGUGUCAUUUGCUCUCGAGGAUGGAGGGAGUAUAAACAGAAGUGUGUGGACGGUCAUCAGCCGGAGAGGCCCGUCUCACUGCACACAUCCUCCACGGCUCUCAAACAGCCUUAAUCCCAAACAUCC